Cinara cedri is the source of this 215-nucleotide non-coding RNA. Lineage: Eukaryota; Metazoa; Arthropoda; Insecta; Hemiptera; Aphididae. The record is from the annotation of a GenBank genome assembly.
CUUUUUUCUAUAUAAUGGCAUAUUCUUUAGUGAUCUUUUCUAAAUAGUUAAAAUUUUAUGAAGAAUAUAGACAAAAUUUGAGUAUCGUUCGAUAGCGAAUUUUCAUGGUUAUUUCAAUUAUAAAUUGAAAAAAAGUGAUAUUUCUAAGCCGAUUUUCGAACAUCUGACCAUUCCAAACGAAAGACCAUACUUUUUUCUAUAUAAUAGCAUAUUCU